GGACGAACGCUGGCGGCGUGCUUAACACAUGCAAGUCGAGCGGUAAGGCCCUUUCGGGGGUACACGAGCGGCGAACGGGUGAGUAACACGUGGGUGACCUGCCCUCAGCUCUGGGAUAAGCCCGGGAAACUGGGUCUAAUACCGGAUAUGACUCCAUGACGCAUGUUGUGGGGUGGAAAGCCUUGUGCGGCUGAGGAUGGGCCCGCGGCCUAUCAGCUUGUUGGUGGGGUGAUGGCCUACCAAGGCGACGACGGGUAGCCGGCCUGAGAGGGCGACCGGCCACACUGGGACUGAGAUACGGCCCAGACUCCUACGGGAGGCAGCAGUGGGGAAUCUUGCGCAAUGGGCGAAAGCCUGACGCAGCGACGCCGCGUGAGGGAUGACGGCC
Molecule: ribosomal RNA, 388 nt
Filed under: uncultured bacterium
Lineage: Bacteria
Description: bacterial SSU rRNA
Rfam family: Bacterial small subunit ribosomal RNA
Source: RNAcentral